This 1193-nucleotide long non-coding RNA is filed under the name Podarcis lilfordi (Lilford's wall lizard). The record is from RNAcentral. Lineage: Eukaryota; Metazoa; Chordata; Lepidosauria; Squamata; Lacertidae.
GCAAGCCCAAGAGGCUCAGUGGUUUAGACCACAGCACCACCCGUGUCCCUGAAGCUGGCAGUAACAGUGGGCAGAGGCAGUCAUUGUCUGGCAUCCCAAAGACAUAGCAGUUGCAUGUGAGUUCUGAUCAUCUUUUUCCAUUGAACUGAGUCCAAACUAUUCUAUGAUUCCCUAACAUUUUUGGCAUUGUCAGAAACAACAACUUCCAAUUCUGAUUUUUAUAACAUUUUUUGGGGGGGGAGGGUGUGUAUGCUUCCCCAUUCAUAAACAUUGCCCUUGCUUGUGCUCAUUUCUGCUUGUAUUCAUUGAAACAGGUAGAAGUUUGAUGUAGACACACAAAGCAGGCAGAGGAGUCACAUGGCUCCAGGCUGAGUAUGCAUUUCUGCAGCUUCACUCCACUCAUGUUCCUUCUUCCAAUGAUAAUAUCCGAGGAGGGCUAUAGCUGCUUCUGAUUGGCCAUUAAGCAAACUGAUAUCAUCCCUUUCAACCUUCAAAUUCAUUUGGAUUGCUCACAGACUGAUUGAUUUGAUGGAGGAAGAUGAUAUAUAAAUCCUGUCAAAGGCCUGAUGCAAUUUACAAUACACAAAAAUACAGAAUAGAGCCCCUGUAACCAAGCCAGGAAGUUGGAGGGUGCAGCAACCAGGAUCAGCAAUGAUUGAGCAAACAGCAGGAGUAAGUUGAUCUGAACAGCACUGUGAAAGGAGGUGAAUAUUUCCAUGAUCUAUCAACAAGUUUCUUGGAGGGGGAUUUCCAUCCUUACAAAAUGGCUUUCUUCUGGGAUAUAUUUUUUAAAAAAAGACUGUUCAGCAUGGAGAUCAUUUCCCAAACUUUUCAUGGUCCGUACAUAAAAUGUAGUCUCAGCCCCUAUAGCAUGAAACUGGCCCGAAUUCUCCCCCAUCCAUAUUUCCUAGUUAAAGGGGUUUUGUCAGCAUUGCCAUUAUCAGCAGCUGGGAAAGUCCAAAACACUGAUCACUUUAUUUAUUGAUGCUGAGCUUGCCAUGUGGCAAUGGGUGAAAUUUGCAGAGACUGCCCUUUAACAAAGAUAUGCAGUCAGCAAACCAUCUUAUCUUAUGUAUAUAUGUGUGGCAUCAAAUAUCCCAAUGGAUCUCAUCAAGCAAGCUUCAUGCAAAUACGUGAGCACUACUAACUGACCUUUGUAGACUCAGCAUUAAAUUUACUAUUUGGAUGAAAAA